GACGAACGCUGGCGGCGUGCCUAAUACAUGCAAGUUGAGCGCUGAAGGUUGGUACUUGUACCGACUGGAUGAGCAGCGAACGGGUGAGUAACGCGUGGGGAAUCUGCCUUUGAGCGGGGGACAACAUUUGGAAACGAAUGCUAAUACCGCAUAACAACUUUAAACACAAGUUUUAAGUUUGAAAGAUGCAAUUGCAUCACUCAAAGAUGAUCCUGCGUUGUAUUAGCUAGUUGGUGAGGUAAAGGCGCACCAAGGCGAUGAUACAUAGCCGACCUGAGAGGGUGAUCGGCCACAUUGGGACUGAGACACGGCCCAAACUCCUACGGGAGGCAGCAGUAGGGAAUCUUCGGCAAUGGACGAAAGUCUGACCGAGCAACGCCGCGUGAGUGAAGAAGGUUUUCGGAUCGUAAAACUCUGUUGGUAGAGAAGAACGUUGGUGAGAGUGGAAAGCUCGUCAAGUGACGGUAACUACCCAGAAAGGGACGGCUAACUACGUGCCAGCCGCCGCCGUAA
RNAcentral lists this ribosomal RNA (513 nucleotides) under uncultured bacterium. RNAcentral describes it as "partial 16S ribosomal RNA". It matches the Rfam family "Bacterial small subunit ribosomal RNA", at positions 28 to 523 of the family's 1533-position model. The record is from RNAcentral.